Long non-coding RNA from Labrus mixtus (cuckoo wrasse), 1643 nucleotides. RefSeq lists it as uncharacterized. The record is from RefSeq and is a predicted model, not a curated record. The transcript has 2 exons. NCBI's taxonomy places the organism in Eukaryota, Metazoa, Chordata, Actinopteri, Labriformes, Labridae.
UAAGUAUUUAAAAAAGAAUAGUUUUUUUAGAUACUGGAAGCCGCAAUACAGUUAUUUUGACUUCAUAUAGUUUAGAAUAUUUAUAUUAUUUGAAAGAAAUAUUGGCUCUGCAAAGUAACGUUAUUGCUAGGCUGAACAGCUAUAGCAGGAUGUUCACUUAUAACAGGGUUGUUUGUUGUUUGCUCCACAGUUCCUUAAUGUGGAAGUGUCCUUGAGCAGGCCAAAAGAUGAGCGCAUGCGUAGGGAUUAGAGACCAUUUUCGGAGUCCGGGCUAAAGUUCUGAUGACUCAUCACUUUUAUAGGCGAUCUUUGCCUAUUCACGGUGCACAGGACUUUGUUUGUCCUAUUUCAGGUUGGCACGGCCUGACAAUAGGACGGAUAAUAUGUCAGCUUAAAGCUGCAGCAGGAAGGUUGUUCAGCCUGUAAGGAGAAUGCAAGCUGCAGAGUCUAUGCACAAGACACUUAGCAAGCUGCAGGCCUGACUGCAGCUGAUUUUGCACUCCUGCUUCUGAGACUUUCAGGGACAAAGCCAAACAGUGAAGUAUCUCCUACUGAGGCAUUUAUCAAGUAGAAAUUGAUCCAAAAUGUUUAAUGCCUUUAUCUGUAUUCAUUAGACAACUGUCCUCUUAAUCUAGUAACACGACACAAUAUUUCAAACAUUCAGGGAAUAUUAAUGCAAGCUAUCACUGAGUCAACCUUUCUGUCUUUAUUUCAAACAGAACAGGCCCUGUUGAACAAGGAAGAGGUGGGACCCUGCAUGAUUUCCUUGGCCUGCACGCUCUGUGAGUGACACGCUCCUCACACACCCAAACACUACAUCACCCAGGGGAGCCCGAUGGCAGAGCUACAACCUCAGGCGAUGGCGUUCUGUUUCAGGCCAUGCAACUGGAGUCAGGUUAGAGAGGGAUGGUUGUCAGGUGAGCGCCACACUGGGCCAAGCCUCGCUCUCGCAGUGUGCUACUGUGUGCUGCAGCUGGCCAACAAAAAAAAAAAAAAAGAGACAGACUGUGAGCCCUGGCUGUCAACAUCUGCUCCAGAGACUGAACCAUCUGCCCAGGGGCCCCGGGGGGGAGCGCCUCUCCUGUCUCAGACCAGCUGCAGAGCCCCAGACGUGGAUCUGAACAGUCCUGCAGAGGCGGAGAACGCGGCCAAACCACAGUCAGAGCCGCGGAGCACUGGGACAUUUGUCUCAUACACUUAGACGAGUUUAAUCUGCAGGGUGCGAUCACAGUAAGAUUUGGAUAAACAAAUUUCCUGGAAUGCCAUAUCAAAUCCAAAUUUCUUUGACAAAACUGAAGUCACCUUGUUGGAAAAAAAAAAAUCUCAAUCUGGUAAAUUAUGAGCUGAAAUCCACACAGUGAUCUAUAUUUCACGGUACAGUUUAUUCAGCUCAAUAACGAGGAUAAUUAUUUAUUGAAUUUGAAGAUUUGAAAAUAAAUAAAAGAUGAGUCUGGGGGCUUUUUGUUAAGACCUUUUAUUUCAUCGAUUUGAGAGAAACAAGUAAAAACAGUGUACAAAGUUUAUAUUAUUUGUUUACUAAAGCUGGUGUCCUCAGUCUCGGGAAUAUGGAAGGGCAGGUACAAAAAAAGGUGAAAAGAAAAAUAAAAAGUAUAAAAUGAAUUUCCCUAUUUUUUUUUUUUUUU